GAUGAAGAACGUAGCGAAAUGCGAUAAGUAGUGUGAAUUGCAGAAUUCAGUGAAUCAUCGAAUCUUUGAACGCACAUUGCGCCCCUUGGUAUUCCAUGGGGCAUGCCUGUUCGAGCGUCAUUUGUACCUUCAAGCUCUGCUUGGUGUUGGGUGUUUGUCUCGCCUCUGCGUGUAGACUCGCCUCAAAACAAUUGGCAGCCGGCGUAUUGAUUUCGGAGCGCAGUACAUCUCGCGCUUUGCACUCAUAACGACGACGUCCAAAAGUACAUUUUUACAUUCUUGACCUCGGAUCAGGUAGGGAUACCCGCUGAACUUAAGCAUAUCAAUAAGCGGAGGA
This 337-nucleotide unclassified non-coding RNA is filed under the name soil metagenome. RNAcentral's name for it is "partial contains 5.8S ribosomal RNA, internal transcribed spacer 2, and large subunit ribosomal RNA". The stretch from base 1 to 120 matches the Rfam family "5.8S ribosomal RNA", at positions 35 to 154 of the family's 154-position model. The record is from RNAcentral.